UACGAAGGGGGCUAGCGUUGUUCGGAAUUACUGGGCGUAAAGCGCGCGUAGGCGGCGUAUUAAGUCAGGGGUGAAAGGCCUGGGCUCAACCCAGGAACUGCCUUUGAGACUGAUGCGCUCGAGUCCGGAAGAGGGUAGUGGAAUUCCCAGUGUAGAGGUGAAAUUCGUAGAUAUUGGGAAGAACACCGGUGGCGAAGGCGGCUACCUGGUCCGGUACUGACGCUGAAGUGCGAAAGCGUGGGGAGC
This 246-nucleotide ribosomal RNA is filed under the name uncultured bacterium. Its description in RNAcentral is "partial 16S ribosomal RNA". It matches the Rfam family "Bacterial small subunit ribosomal RNA", at positions 524 to 769 of the family's 1533-position model. The record is from RNAcentral.